GGACUACCAGGGUUUCUAAUCCUGUUUGCUACCCACGCUUUCGAAUCUCAGUGUCAGUUACGAGCCAGAAAGCUGCCUUCGCCAUCGGUAUUCCUCCAAAUAUCUACGGAUUUCACUCCUACACUUGGAAUUCCGCUUUCCUCUCUCGUACUCCAGCAACGCAGUAUCAAAUGCACUUCCCAGGUUAAGCCCAGGGCUUUCACAUCUGACUUACGUCACCACCUACAUUCCCUUUACGCCCAGUAAUUCCGAACAACGCUCGAGGCCUCUGUAUUACCGCGGCUGCUGGCAC
RNAcentral lists this ribosomal RNA (292 nucleotides) under uncultured bacterium. Its description in RNAcentral is "partial 16S ribosomal RNA". The record is from RNAcentral.